UGCGUAGGUGGUAUGGCAAGUCAGAAGUGAAAACCCAGGGCUUAACUCUGGGACUGCUUUUGAAACUGUCAGACUGGAGUGCAGGAGAGGUAAGCGGAAUUCCUAGUGUAGCGGUGAAAUGCGUAGAUAUUGGGAGGAACAUCAGUGGCGAAGGCGGCUUACUGGACUGAAACUGACACUGAGGCACGAAAGCGUGGGGAGCAAACA
This 207-nucleotide ribosomal RNA is filed under the name uncultured bacterium. RNAcentral's name for it is "partial 16S ribosomal RNA". It matches the Rfam family "Bacterial small subunit ribosomal RNA", at positions 568 to 774 of the family's 1533-position model. The record is from RNAcentral.